GAUGAAGAACGCAGCGAAAUGCGAUACGUAAUGUGAAUUGCAAAUUCAGUGAAUCAUCGAGUCUUUGAACGCACAUUGCGCCCCCUGGUAUUCCGGGGGGCAUGCCUGUCCGAGCGUCAUUGCUGCCCUCAAGCACGGCUUGUGUGUUGGGCCCCGUCCUCCGAUUCCGGGGGACGGGCCCGAAAGGCAGCGGCGGCACCGCGUCCGGUCCGCGAGCGUAUGGGGCUUUGUCACCCGCUCUGUAGGCCCGGCCGGCGCUUGCCGAUCAACCCAAAUUUUUAUCCAGGUUGACCUCGGAUCAGGUAGGGAUACCCGCUGAACUUAAGCAUAUCAAUAAGCGGAGGA
RNAcentral lists this unclassified non-coding RNA (345 nucleotides) under soil metagenome. RNAcentral describes it as "partial contains 5.8S ribosomal RNA, internal transcribed spacer 2, and large subunit ribosomal RNA". The stretch from base 1 to 119 matches the Rfam family "5.8S ribosomal RNA", at positions 35 to 154 of the family's 154-position model. The record is from RNAcentral.